ACGAACGCUGGCGGCGUGCUUAACCCAUGCAAGUCGAACGGAAAGGCCCUGCUUUUGUGGGGUGCUCGAGUGGCGAACGGGUGAGUAACACGUGAGUAACCUGCCCUUGACUUUGGGAUAACUUCAGGAAACUGGGGCUAAUACCGGAUAGGAGCUCCUGCUGCAUGGUGGGGGUUGGAAAGUUUCGGCGGUUGGGGAUGGACUCGCGGCUUAUCAGCUUGCUGGUGGGGUAGUGGCUUACCAAGGCUUUGACGGGUAGCCGGCCUGAGAGGGUGACCGGCCACAUUGGGACUGAGAUACGGCCCAGACUCCUACGGGAGGCAGCAGUGGGGAAUAUUGCACAAUGGGCGGAAGCCUGAUGCAGCAACGCCGCGUGCGGGAUGACGGCCUUCGGGUUGUAAACCGCUUUCGCCUGUGACGAAGCGUGAGUGACGGUAAUGGGUAAAGAAGCACCGGCUAACUACGUG
RNAcentral lists this ribosomal RNA (467 nucleotides) under uncultured bacterium. RNAcentral's name for it is "partial 16S ribosomal RNA". It matches the Rfam family "Bacterial small subunit ribosomal RNA", at positions 29 to 507 of the family's 1533-position model. The record is from RNAcentral.